This is a long non-coding RNA of Cephus cinctus (wheat stem sawfly), 1576 nucleotides long. RefSeq lists it as uncharacterized. NCBI's taxonomy places the organism in Eukaryota, Metazoa, Arthropoda, Insecta, Hymenoptera, Cephidae. The record is from RefSeq and is a predicted model, not a curated record. The transcript has 3 exons.
CCUACGUACGCCUUCGUAUUAAACGAGGUGCGAGGAUACGCAGACUCCGCACCGGCGGUAUACGUCUCGCCUGUGACGUUUACUCGUGAUAAAAAAUUCGUAGGAUCACGAUUGAUAAGGGCGGUAUAGAAAACUCGAAGAUAAACGAUCGGGUUCGGGUUGAUCCUCGUGAAUUUUCUGUAUAGGACAAUGAGAGAGUGACCUUAGUCAUUGGUCAAAUUUAUUGGAUCCUUCUGGACGGUGCGGUGCGCUUACUAUUAGGGGACCGACAGGAGGGGGAGGAGGAGACCGGAGCCAGCACUGAUAAAGAGUGGCGAACAUCCGAACAUGGUCCACAAGCAGAGGGUUCUUUGGCGAAUCAAUACCGCUGGGUACUAAAGGACGCCGAAGACUUUGUAUCGCACUGGAAUAUACUAUAUCAGGAUGGUUAACCGUACAAGGAUGGACUUUGACAUCCUUAACUCGAGCCACCUGAGGUUGCUGGUACUGAGGAUGCUGCUGCUCCAUCCAAGUCCCUGUUCACGUACACAUCAGUUUCGUACCGGCUGAGAAGUUAUAUGACGUCAACAUGAGAACGAGGUCGAAGGCGGAAAAUUAACCCUGUACCGAGUUCGAUAUUCAGCUUCAAUUCCCCGAAAAAUUCGCUGUAUGACGUACGCCGGAUUAUGAGAAAAGUUUACGCUAGAUGGCAGUCCAAUAGUUGCCUAUCUUAUGUGCAACUGUAUGUACGUGGAGUCUAUGUAAUAUCUGCAUAUAUGUACAAGGGGUCGGUGGUUACAGGGCGAGACUAAACCCUCUCUUCGCGAAGCCAUCGAGUCCACCCAAGCCCCCCGAAGCAGACAACUUCACUUCACUCAGAGUUCAUAUGAAGUUUGAUAAAUCGAGUGGCGCCUCUCGCGGCUGAGUCACGUACUAUAAAUAUGUGUACGCUUACUGCAGACGUAUCUACUUACGCGAAAGUCCUUUUCACGUGUAUCCCUGGCGUAUUCGAAAGCCUUUGAAGUUUCUCGCGAUAGCUUGGAUUUAAAUUAAUGAUACGAGGGAUAAAAAAUAAUGUUGACACGGCAUAUGUAUGGGCUAGACAUCGUUGCCACGGUUCUCGUUUACGAUCAGUUACUUGAAAUACGUAUCGUACUGUUUUCUGCUGCGCUUGAAUUUUCCUCACUUCCCUUUUGUCGCGUAAUGGCGCAACUCUGCGAUUUCUUGCCCUCGGUACGUCGCCGGCGCAACCUUAUCCGUUUCAUUGAAAUACGAGCUCAGAAAUCCCUAGGGUCCUACACUGCAUCCCCUUACUACUCGGCCAUUCCAGCCCACUCGUUCCACUACGACUCCGCCGCUCGUUUCAUUCUCUUUAAAAGGGAAAAACUUUUCUCGCUACUCGAUUCUAUUUAUUUACCAACCGUUCUGAUCAUGGGAGCCCACUCCAUAACUCUCAACCUUCUACCGCUUCCUUUUACCCCGGUUAACUUCCUGUUCCUGUAACUUUAGCAAGUAUACAUGAAUCGUUUCGAAGCAUGGCCAGAGUAAGGAAUAAUGUUUACACCGAAAAACCCUUGUUUUUAAUCCUUAAAAUUAU